Non-coding RNA from Saimiri boliviensis boliviensis (Bolivian squirrel monkey), 592 nucleotides. NCBI's taxonomy places the organism in Eukaryota, Metazoa, Chordata, Mammalia, Primates, Cebidae. The record is from RefSeq and is a predicted model, not a curated record.
GAAGUACUUCCGGGUUCACUGGUCUGCUUCGGCUUCCGUUCCCCGACGGCCAAUUGGAGACGACUGGGAGUCAGGCGGGUGUCCAGAAGGAGCGCUCCGAACAGACGGUGCGAGCCGCCGGGCGUCUCCUGUCCUUGCUAGACUGUGAGGUGGGAGUUAGAGCCCGGGCCUCUCGCGCCCCGCGACGCCUCCUUUUUCUCCCUCCACCUCUGAACUCUCCGGCCACCGCGGAGAUGUGGGACGGCGGCACACCCAGCCCGGGAGGCGACUGGCUAGGAAAUGGAACUGUUAGUAUUGCGAAGCCCAGAUCCCCUUUCGUUUUGGUGUUCACUACUAUUACGGCCCUCCUCAAAAACUAAAAGGUUGCAUAUGAUCGCCUCCUUUCUGAGCCAGACGGACAUAUGGGCUUUGCAGGCCAAUGAGAUUGGAAUGCUGUUCCGAGGAUGCUACCCUCACAUCAGGGGAAAGCUCCAGUGUAGUCCCCCACUAUCACAAACUCUGCAGUUGGGUUUUCUCCAUUUGGGGAAAACGCAGGGGUCAACACAUCCAGAGUGCAAUGCAUAAGCCUCACCCUGGGAAAACCACCUUUGUG